AUACGGAAGGUCCGGGCGUUAUCCGGAUUUAUUGGGUUUAAAGGGAGCGCAGGCGGAGAUGCAAGCGUGACGUCAAAUUUCGGGGCUCAACCCCGUCUCGCGUCGCGAACUGCGUCCCUUGGUUGCGGGAAGGGGAGGCGGAAAUCGUGGUGUAGCGGUGAAAUGCAUAGAUAUCAUGAAGAACUCCGAUUGCGAAGGCAGUCCGCUGGGGCACGUCUGACGCUGAUGCUCGAAGGUGCGGGAAUCAAACAGGAUUAGAUACCCUGGUAGUCCGCACGGUAAACGAUGAUUACCCGCUGUCGGCGGCAGACAGUCGGCGGCCAAGCGAAAGCGAUAAGUAAUCCACCUGGGGAGUACGCUGGCAACGGUGAAACUCAAAUGAAUUGACGGGG
This 392-nucleotide ribosomal RNA is filed under the name uncultured bacterium. RNAcentral describes it as "partial 16S ribosomal RNA". It matches the Rfam family "Bacterial small subunit ribosomal RNA", at positions 523 to 918 of the family's 1533-position model. The record is from RNAcentral.